This 450-nucleotide ribosomal RNA is filed under the name uncultured bacterium. RNAcentral's name for it is "bacterial SSU rRNA". It matches the Rfam family "Bacterial small subunit ribosomal RNA", at positions 354 to 796 of the family's 1533-position model. The record is from RNAcentral.
GUGGGGAAUAUUGGACAAUGGGCGAAAGCCUGAUCCAGCCAUGCCGCGUGUGUGAAGAAGGUCUUCGGAUUGUAAAGCACUUUACGUUGGGAGGAAGGGCAGUAAGUUAAUACCUUGCUGUUUUGACGUUACCGACAGAAUAAGCACCGGCUAACUUCGUGCCAGCAGCCGCGGUAAUACGAAGGGUGCAAGCGUUAAUCGGAAUUACUGGGCGUAAAGGGCGCGUAGGUGGUGUUGUAAGUUGGAGGUGAAAUACCCGGGCUCAAACUGGGAACUGCCUCUAAAACUGCAUGACUAGAGUACGGUAGAGGGUAGUGGAAUUUCCUGUGUAGCGGUGAAAUGCGUAGAUAUAGGAAGGAACACCAGUGGCGAAGGCGACUACCUGGACUGAUACUGACACUGAGGUGCGAAAGCGUGGGGAGCAAACAGGAUUAGAUACCCUUGUAGUCC